GUAAUAAGGUUUCCGUAGGUGAACCUGCGGAAGGAUCAUUAUCGAAGAGCAACUCUUCAUAUACACCUGUGAACCGUCGUCCUUUGGACGCUAUACAAACUCUAGUGUUGUCUUGAAUGUCUAGUUAUAUCAUAACAAAAAUAACUUUCAACAACGGAUCUCUUGGCUCUCGCAUCGAUGAAGAACGCAGCGAAAUGCGAUAAGUAAUGUGAAUUGCAGAAUAGUGAACCAUCGAAUCUUUGAACGCACCUUGCGCCGUAUGGCAUGCCAGUUUGAGAGCCACCUUAACCUCGCAGAUACAACUUGUUGUAUAGGCGGAUUUGAAUGUUGCCGGCUUGCCGGCUCGUUCUGAAUGCAUGAGCGGUUGAAGCUCGUAACAACGUGAUAAGUAUCUACGUUGUGAAAGGCCGAGAUUGCUUCAAAUCGUCCUCGGACAAUUCUAAUGCUAGGCAUCAAAUUGGUAGGAUUACCCGCUGAACUUAAGCAUAUCAAUAG
RNAcentral lists this small RNA (495 nucleotides) under Calocera pedicellata. RNAcentral's name for it is "eukaryotic LSU rRNA". The stretch from base 143 to 282 matches the Rfam family "5.8S ribosomal RNA". The record is from RNAcentral. Lineage: Eukaryota; Fungi; Basidiomycota; Dacrymycetes; Dacrymycetales; Dacrymycetaceae.